RNAcentral lists this ribosomal RNA (115 nucleotides) under Citrobacter sp. wls708. RNAcentral describes it as "partial 16S ribosomal RNA". It matches the Rfam family "Bacterial small subunit ribosomal RNA", at positions 1 to 110 of the family's 1533-position model. The record is from RNAcentral. Lineage: Bacteria; Pseudomonadati; Pseudomonadota; Gammaproteobacteria; Enterobacterales; Enterobacteriaceae.
AAAUUGAAGAGUUUGAUCAUGGCUCAGAUUGAACGCUGGCGGCAGGCCUAACACAUGCAAGUCGAACGGUAGCACAGAGAGCUUGCUCUCGGGUGACGAGUGGCGGACGGGGGAG